Molecule: ribosomal RNA, 569 nt
Filed under: uncultured bacterium
Lineage: Bacteria
Description: partial 16S ribosomal RNA
Rfam family: Bacterial small subunit ribosomal RNA
Source: RNAcentral
UGGGGAAUAUUGGGCAAUGGGCGGAAGCCUGACCCAGCGACGCCGCGUGGGGGAAGAAGUCUUUCGGGACGUAAACCCAUGUUGUACGGGACGAAGGAAGUGACGGUACCGUACGAGGAAGCCCCGGCAAACUACGUGCCAGCAGCCGCGGUAAUACGUAGGGGGCGAGCGUUGUCCGGAAUCACUGGGCGUAAAGCGCACGUAGGCGGGCUGUUAAGUCGGCCGUGAAAAGGCACGGGCUCAAACCGGUGCAUGUCGGUCGAUACUGGCGGUCUGGAGUAUGGGAGAGGGGACUGGAAUUCCCGGUGUAGCGGUGAAAAUGCGUAGAUAUCGGGAGGAACACCAGUGGCGAAGGCGGGCUCCUGGCCCAUUACUGACGCUGAGGUGCGAAAAGCCAGGGGAGCGAACGGGAUUAGAUACCCCGGUAGUCCUGGCCGUAAACGAUGGAUGCUAGGUGUGGGGGUGUAAGCCUCUGUGCCGCAGCUAACGCGAUAAGCAUCCCGCCUGGGGGAGUACGAUCGCAAGAUUGAAAACUUAAAAGGAAUUGACGGGGUCAUAGCUGUUUCCUG